RNAcentral lists this long non-coding RNA (8854 nucleotides) under Gallus gallus (chicken). The record is from RNAcentral. Lineage: Eukaryota; Metazoa; Chordata; Aves; Galliformes; Phasianidae.
AUGCAGGUGUUUUCACCCAUUCUGUAUUUAUAAUCCCUGCUUUUAAGCAAUGCUUAGUGCAAGAGUUUAAUGGUCUGUCUUUUUUUUUUUCUCUGACAUUCUCUGCCCUGUUAUAUUACUGCCUUGCCCUUCAGUUUUACCCCACAAAGUCAUACAUGCAGUAGGAAGGAAGUCCUUAAGUUCUUAUGGAUGCUUUCUUAAGGGAAAUGUUUAGAAAUUCAUUCUGGCUGUGCAGCAAAUAUGCAGGUAUGAGCAACACAGUGCCUGGGGCUAUUGAUACUGAUCUGUUUGUGGAGUUCCAGUACAAGGACUAUUUGUCAGACAGGCAGCCCAGCAGAUUGUGUCUGGGUGAUAGUAUCUUUUGCAUGUUCUAGUGAUACUAAAAAGACAUAAAGGCACUGAGGACUUUGCCUGAAAAACAUUAGCAUCCUGUGUGAUUUAUUGAAGCUGUUUGUCUAAUCAUCACUGUGUUUUUUGUUUGUUUGUUUGUUGUUUUUUUUAAAUAGUAUUUCCUUUUUAUUUAUCAAUGGUUUCCGCUUUUGCUUUUUAGUUAUUUAUGGAUUUCCACUGAAUGUCUUGAGCAAUACACGGAGAAAUCAUCUUUGCUAUAAAAAGAACCAACAAAUUCCUUCCCAAAAGACUUCUGAUUGGUGCAGGGCAAAAAAUGUUUUUCUCUGUAGUGCACAUCUGUGAUAUUGUGUAACUUAAAUCUCUCCUGCUGCUUGACAUUUACUUACCCAGAGUGUAUCUCAGAGAAUGGGUUGUCAUUGUGGUGACAUUGUUCUGUGUUUCUUUUGUUUGUUUUUUGAAUAAACAUGGGUGCAUUAAAUGUAAAGAACUACGUUAGCAUGAAAUUAUUGCUGAAAUUUACACAGACAGAAGUCAGGAAAUUCAGAAUAAUGAUUCCCAUAACUAUCAUAACUUGUCCUUUUUCUUACAUGAGGUGUAUUAUUUUCUGUUACUCUAUGUAAGUGCUUGUCUGACUAAACACUGAAGGUUCUUUUCUCUGGCUGGAUGACUGCCUGUCUCACACAGCUUUGAAUUUGCAAACAUUGUGUCAUAAUUUUCACAGCAGUAGUUAAAUGUAAGUUCAGUGAAGUAAGUGUGGGGAGAAAUGGAUACCCUUCAGUUAGAAAUCCUCCUUCCUCAAAGGUUAUUUUAACCCGAAUGAAGAAAAUGUCAGGGACUGAAAUUGCCCAGGAGCCCUGGCUAUGGAGAACCAGCCAUUGUACCUUCAGUGCAAACCAAGCAGAAUGAAGCAAUUUUUUAUUUCUCCCCACAGGGUAUGUUUUCUUUUGACAUAGUUCACCUCAUGUAUAAUUAUAAAAUUUCUGUCCUAGAAAUUCUGCAUCACUGCUGUGGGGUUGCUGCAGCAGUGGUUUUUCACCUGGCAUAGCAGUAUUUUUUUUUUCUAGGUGAGAUUAAUUAACAGAAUGCACAGAAAUGCCAGCUAAUUUAAUUGAAUCCAAAGCAGCAGACAUGCUAGAUUAUCUAGGUUGGCAAAAUGGUAUGAAACUUCUCAGAAAAUGCGUAUCAAAAAUCUUUUCAGCCAGUGUUACUACAUAAAUGUGGAAAUACAAUCUGAGUCUGUGCUUAGCUUUCUUGAGGGAGCACUGCAGGUUCAAGAAGACAGACAUCUACAGAUCCCAAUCAUUUUUUGGAACUACUCUUUGGAUGUUCACUCAGCUAAAGUAGGAACAAAAAUACAUUAAGUACAAGAAACCUGGCGCAUUUGCAUUCUCGGAGUUUGUUUUAUUUCACAAAUAAACAUCUUCUUAAUUGGCAUAGGACACAGCAUGGCUUCAGAAUAACCAUGUCCUUCUAAGGGCAGGCCACGUAUACAAGAAAUCCUUUAGUGCUAUUAUUAACAAGGCUUUUAGUGGGCAGUAGGAGGAAGGAUCAUCAGGCAGUUGGUAAGAGUCCACAGAUGGGUUGUUACAAGGGACACUCAUAGCUGGCAUGAAUAGUUGAGUUUAUUGCAAUGCCCUGCAGUAUUUUGGUUGAUCUUCCUCUUCAAGAUGGUAUCUCCUCAGGCUUCUCUGCAGGUCAGCUGGCAAGGGAAUGUUUGGAUUUUACUUGAAACUAAAUUAAGCAUCCUUCAUUGUUCAGUUUCAUGCAUUUUUUGAGCUACUGUGAAAUACUAGAAAAUUCUAGAAAAUAUAGGUUUAUACAGUGAAUGCAGCUGAAGUCAAAGUUUGUUCAAUUAAUCUCUACAAUUCCACAUGGUAUUCAGUUUGCCUGAGAGUUACCCAAAGCUGACAGAAAGGUUAUUCUUUCGCAGUGUCUAUUUGGAGUUAUCUGUGUACAGAAGUUUGUAAAAGUAAUCCAGUAUAUGGUGAAUAAUGUUCUAUAACCACAUAUACCAAAAUCAAAUGAAAAUGAGCUUUAUCAAGCAUCCUCCAAGUAAAUUCAUUCUCGAGCUAAAACAUCCUAAGGGUAAUUUCUUUUAAUAAUUUACAGAAGUGACUCAUCUGAAAGUUCUUUCACCUAAUGACUUCUGCUGGUGGCACAAAGCUCCAGCGUCAUCAGCAUUCUGCACCUAAACCUGCCAUGUUCUGUGAAGCUGCCAGGUGCAUUAACUCUUGUCAACUUAACAGAGAUUUGUUGUAAGUGAAGCUGCCUCCUUCGUAAGAAGUUCAGGCUGAGACUUGACACUUAAUCUAAAUACUGAAGCUAGAGAGAUUUUCCUGGAGGUAAUUUUGAAUGAUUAUUAGCUGAUUAAAGUGGUUCUCUGUGUCAGUUUCAAUCAUGAAUUAGCCUUAUAUGUGUCAGAGUCAAAGUUUAUUGUUCUGAUUGAUAUUGGUGUGCAACUGACUGUUUUUCACAUAAAUUAGAAAGAACAGUCUGGUAAUCCCCUUUUACAGGCUGUAACAAAAUCCCUCAGAGGAACUCUGCAGACAGUCUAAUGCUAAGCAGCUAGAAGUUAAAUACCCUUUCUACCUUUUAUUUUUAUAAGGUAGACUGUCAAGUGUGCCAAAUCUGGAGUGUGCUAUGCAAGCUCAUUUAAAUAUAAAUAGGCAUUCUCCAAUAGUGAAAUUUUAAGUGUCAAAAAUCUAAUAUGACUGAGUUGGACAUUCAUCCUACUGACUGCAAAUGGAGCUGAUUGUAGCAAAUACCAAGUUGUUAUGAAUUUGCUGGACUGAAAUCAGAAGUAUGUUUUAUUUUAACCUAUAAUCACAGAAGUAAUGAGUUCUUGUGCCGUGCUGGAAGGACGUUGUACUUAAAUUUGUAGCAAAAGACAGAUCUGACUGUAGGAUUCUGCCUGCUUUGCCCAUUUUUGCUGUAAGCUGUUCUGCUAGAUCAUCUGAAUGGUUUGCCCUGAAAGGUUAGGGAUCAGAGCUUCGUUGAAUUUGAGUGUCCUAGCCAUGUUUCUGAGAAACUAAUCUAUUUUACUGAGAUCAAAGUAAGUAUUUUACAAUUUUAAUGCAAAACUAGAAAAGGAGUUUGGAAAUAACGUCCUUGCUGUACUUUCAUAAAAUUAGCAAUGUUAUGAUGAAAUAUUUGUUUUAAGUGAAAGUGGAAUAAUUUCAUUUAUGAAAAUGUUUAUUAAAUUUCAAGACUUAAAAUAGGAAUUCUGAUUGCUAGCUAUUCUGAUGCUCUCUUCAGUUUUCUUUUGAAAGCAUUAAUUCAGAACCCAGAAAAAUGACUGUAGUAAUAGGAUUCACAUCUGCAUUAACUUUAUAAACACAGUUACCUACCAAUUCUUGUACAGGAUUACUGAGAAUUCCCUAUAGGCUGGUGUGGUCUAGCUGACAUAAUUUUGGAUCGUUUACAAAUCUGUAUUUUUAGUAUCAAAAUGCUUGUACAUGGAAGGGCAUUUUUUGGGAGGGUAUAUAAUGGUGUGGAUUUACAGUUCGCUUUGUUUUGUCAACAUAUUAUUUUUGUCAGAAUUUCUUGUCAAAUUAUUUUUGAAAAUGAAUAUAAAUUUUAUUUCUGUAGUUCUUCUUCAGCUACUUUUCAUGCAAAAUUUAUUGCUUAUUUUGGAAGUUACUGUUGGCUUCUGAACCUCUCCAUGCAGCAUGCAAACAGGCUAAGCGAAAUGGCCACUGAGGCUCUAAUGUAGCACAGGCAGCUCUGCUGUAGUAGAGCAUGCUGUCUGUGAAUCCUUGUGUGAGAAUGGAGGAGACCUGACUUGCUGGAGCCCACUGUCUACCAUGUUGGUUUGGGCUCCUGUGUGUUUCCCAUCCCAAGGUGAAAAGGUAGAGAUACUGAAAAGCCAUGAUUGACUACUGCCUCUUCCAUGAAUUUAUCAUUUUCUGGACCUUCCAGGGAUGUGGUGUUUGCUUUGUGUUUACAUAGCUGCGUGUGAGUUCCUGAUUUACAGACUAUUGAGCCAGGAAGGAAGGGUAGCCAUAGGUGAGCACUGACACACCAUUCCUAUGCUCUGAUUUCUCAGUUUUGACCUUCUCCGAAUUCCUGUUUGCUGUUGUUUUCCGAUGUUUUCUAUAAAUUCCAAGUAUUGAUAACUCCAAAGAUACAAUAUUAAGAUUCUGUUUAUUACAUAAAAAUGGAAAAUGGAAGCAUUCAGUUCUUUCUCUGCAAUUCUGGAGUAAUGCAUAAUUCUGUACUUCUAUAUUAUAUUAAUGGUCACAUCAAUUCUCUAUUUUACUGGUUUUUUUGUUGUUGUUUUGUUUUGCGUGUUUGUUUGGUUGUUUUUUUUCCUGUCACUCUUCUUUGUACAUUAUGUCAUUUACAGUGCUUUUAGCUCUUCUGAAAUUUUUAUCCUGACGUUUCUCUGGGAGUGAGUGGCAGGUAGAUUAUUCUGGUUUUUAUAUUAGACUCAGCUAAAUAUUGGAUAUUUGGUAAAUGUUGCUUUUCCAUUUCUACAUUCUGCAUUUUAUUUCUUCACAUAUGAAUGAUCUUUUCCAGUCUCCAUUGAGGGGAAAAGGAAGGCUUUGCUGAAAAUUUUAGAAGUAACAAAAUCUUAUUUAAAGCUGUUUGUGUUUAUGAGAUAUUAUUAACAAACAAUAAGUAGGAACUUGAUGGUGGAGGGUGAGAAGAAGAUUCUUAAGAUACAAAAACUUUAAUCUGACACUUCUACAAUAUUUGAUAGAUUUUGAUACACUGCUUAGUACAAACUGACAAAUCAUAUUUAUGGUGUUAUGCAUUGUUCUAUCAUUGUUCUACAAUACAACCUAGAGGACAAGUCAACACAGACCUGAAUACUAAUUACAUUUUUAAAUAACUAUCCCCUGUUCAGUAAAUAUUGGAGAAAAUUGGGAUUUCUGAGUGUAUUGAUUUCUAGAUAACCUUAUGCUGCAUUUCCAAAAAUUGGUUUCCCUUAAAGAGUUAUAUAUUAAUACCUUUUGGAAAUUCAGGCAUUACAAUCAAUACUAGCUACAUUACAUUUUUUUUUCUUCUUCUGUAUAUAAUGGCCCAUAUAUAGUUUAGACAAAGGAAGAAAAUGUAAGGUACAGUCAUGUUUACUGUUUAAAAUACAUAAUAUAAUGCAUAUAUAUAAUAAUAUAAAAUAGUUAAAACCUUAAUUUUUUGUGUAUAUGCAGUCUUUUUCAUUUCCUUUCCUGCCUAUCCCUUGCACAAUCCCUGCAGCAACAGAGGGCAGUAUUGUUGAGUAAUACUGGAUUGUUAUUUUUUUGAUGAGUGGUGUUUAUAUAUGGAGAAAAUGCUGUAUAUUUUUUUGAAAGUAUUGGUUGCCUUUAUUAAAAAAAAAAAAAUGAGAUGGAGAUGCAUGAAAUGUCUUUGAAGGACCUGUACUUUAUGUCAGUGCUGAUUCCACUGUGUGGCAACUUUACGGUCACAGACCACUGAAGAAUACUAUUAUCAUUCUGAAUCUUUGAAAUUAUGAUUAUUUCAAAUAGGAUUAGGAAGAGGAAGAGAAGGGUCAAAUUGGAAACCACAUCAAUUUCUGUAGCUUGAUUCUUAAAAUAAGAUAAAUGAAACAUGACAUCAUGUUGUGUGCAUGAGUAAUAUUUAUCUCAUUCCACUUUUCUGUUCUGGCAAUGUCACAUGACUAUACUUAGCAGUUUCAUGUUGAGAAGAGAACUGGAUACAACACUGUGCUUAAGCAUAAAGGGCUCUUCAAAAAUGCACUGAAAAUUCAACCAAAUUGAAUGAAUUACUGUAAUGGUUAGAUGCAAAUGAAGCUUCUUUAAUAAACUGUUUCUCUUUUAUUUUCUGACCUCCUUAUCUCCCCAGUAUCCUUCACAAUUUAUUCAUUUAUUUUAUUUAUUAUGUAGUUUACUUUGAGGUGUACUUUACCAACCUAUAUCACUUAAGUUGUGUGUAAGUGAAAAAGAGAUAAAAAUUCUUUCAGGAAGGUUUCACUUUCAAGUGCAGUUAUAUUUAUGUAGUUAAUAAAUAAAUGGGAUAGGUAAUUUAAUUUUAUUUCCAAUUCUAGUAUUCUCUUAAGCAUUGUAAGCUUAUUUUCAGGUAUUCUUUAUUUCUGAGUUUCCAUUGGAGAAUUACACAGUCCAGAGGUAACUCUAGGAAACACACCUGUUCAAAACUUUAUUCUAAAAUUAAAUGUUAAUGAUUUUUCACCAAGAUGUGAAAUGAUUUAAUGUGAUUCAAUUUCACUUACUAUACUUAUUUUCAUAUGUUCCCAUUGUUUACCUAAUAAAACUAUGUUAGUUUAUCCCAAAAAUCAGUCUUUGCAUUCUCAAAACAAGAUAAUCCUUCCAGUUGCUCUCCUGACAUGCCAUUAUGUAAGCAGUUUAAGCGUGCUGCCAUGUAGAACACUGAUAUUUUGUGUGGCAAGAGGUUUGAGCUGUUGGCCAAAGAAAGAGGGAAAGAUUCAGGGUCUACCUUAUAUACAGUAUUCUUGCAAGCUAUUGCAGCUACCUUACUAUACUUAUCCCCUGCCCUCCCAAAUCCUGAAAAGAUGUACAGAAAUAGAAAGAAAUAUUAAAUCUUGAAAGAUUGGGCCCAAUUCCUGGACAUAUUCGUAACACUUUGUUAAAAUUUGUCUUAUUUUUUGAACAUAAUAGUAGAAUAGUGUACCAUUAAUGUUUAAAUGGACAAACAUCUUUCAGAGACCCAAUAACAUUUCUCUACCAGGUUGACAGGGUUUCCUUAUUAUUAUUUUUUUCUUGAAAAGAGGGAAAAUAACAAAACAGCUAGAAUCCAAAUACAUGUAUUUCUUAUCUGUGUUUUCAUAAUUAGCCCUGGAUCUCAGGGACUUAGAUAAUUUGGCCUUUUUUAAAACUCAUUGAUUCAACUGAAGAUGUGUAAAAUAGAAUAACACUAUGGAUACAUUUUUUUUUUUUUAAUCUUCUGUGCAGAUAAAGUAACAGUUUCUUCCAGGCUCCUUUGCUAUUCUAAUUAAUGAGAAGAUUUCCUAAACCAAUAGUUGGCUCCUAUUCCUAACGCUAAAGGGAUAUGACCCGACCUAUUUUGACUCUUCUAAUGCUGUAUUCAGUACUUUAUGUAAAAUAAAGAUGAUCGGAACAGGUGUUGAUGCUUAUGUCCUAUUAGAGACUUCUUAAGACAGCCGUUCAGUUUGAAUGUUACUCAGUAAGUUCAGAUGAAGCCUCUGUGGCAAAUAACACGUGUACUUGUGAAUAUUUGCAUAUUUUCCAAUUUUUAAUUUCAUUUUUUAAUUUCUUCCCUCUAAAUUCUCAAGGAAAAGUUUAGAAAUAUGUUGUACACAUCAGUUCUUCUGAAACCAGUGAAGAAUGAGAAUAGAGACACUUGCAUAUUGUUCUGUUUUGUUGUUUUUGUGAAUGGAAGAAGCAGAGCCAAAUAAACGGAUGAUUUUAUUACUCUGACUGGAUUUAGUAACAUGCAAGUAACAUGGCUAAUGGUGCUAAUAAAUGACUACUUCCUAAGGUCUAAUCAGAGCAUGUCAGAGCAUGACAGAAGGAAAUCUAAGUAGCAUUAGUGUUUUGCUUUGGUUUGGUUUUUCGAAAACAAGCAGAAAUAGUGAGAAGUUGGGUGCUUUGAAGAUCAAGAUUUUGGAAGAGCAGCUGUGCAUAUUAGGGUAAAAAGCGUUUAUCUUUUGGGUCUACAUUAUUGAAAUCCAUAAGAAUUAAUUUGUGUAGAGACCUCAUUAAAAAUUAAUUACUGAUUCUUCUCUUUCUUCAGCUUGACUUUGUACAUUCAUGAGGAGAUGGUAAAACAUCAGAGACUUUAAUGUAUGAACAUCCAUAAGAAAGUAAAAAGCAGAUUUGCAAAAUGUAAAUAGAUAUUUAAAUUAAGCCAAUUAAGAAAGAUUCUACUAAAUGCUAAAUGUUAUCUAGUAGCACAAUUAACUUUGUUAACAGCCUGGAAACUGUUCAAAAUACUGGGUAAGAUUGGUAGUGUUUGGAUGGAUGUGUUGGAGAACUCAUUCUCUUCUUUGCCUUUUUUUUAUUCAGUCACUUUUGAUCGUGAUUUACUUUAUUUAUUUAUUUAUUUAUUUAUUUAUUUUUGAGUGCCUGUUUAGGUAUUGGGAGGAGGAAGGGAUAGGUACAAGCUUGAAGAUAAAAUUCAUUAGAUCUUGAAGGUCAUAGAACUGAUCACCUUUAACCACUUAAACUAUUUCUGUCUAAUGCUAAGUAAGCGUAUUUUAUCUAUGUAUUUCAUUCAAGUGUAUUUAUUAAGGUUAAUUAUUUUCUAUAAUUUUCCAUUAAAUUUAAUGCAAAACAGCAGCAGUCAUAGUAACAUUCUCCUGAGAAAAUAGCGGUAUUCGGCAUUUUCAAACAUAACAAAUAUGUUCAAACUCAAGAUCUUAAUUAUGUGUUGAAAGUUAUGUUCUUUUUGGGGAAACCUUCAGAUGAAUUGCAUGUUCAUAAUGAAAAAGAAAUACCAGAUUUAAUAUAAUGGUUUUACUUUUCUGCAAAUGAAUGUUUUGGUCAGUACAAAACCAGCAAUAUUAGCUUCUCUUUAAGAAAAUAAUAAAAAGUGUAAAAGUAAG